ACUCAAAUGAAUAGACGGGGGCUCACACAAGCGGUGGAGCAUGUGGAUCAAUUCGAAGCAACGCGAAGAACCUUACCUGGGUUUGACAUCCACGGAUGUCGUCGGUGAAAGCCGAGCCGAUUGCCUUCGGGUGAAACGUGGACAGGUGCUGCAUGGCUGUCGUCAGCUCGUGCUGUGAAGUGUCGGGUUAAGUCCCUUAACGAGCGAAACCCUUGUCGCUAGUUGCCAGCGGGUCAUGCCGGGAACUCUAGCGAGACUGCCGGCGUUAAGCCGGAGGAAGGUGGGGACGACGUCAAGUCAUCAUGGCCUUUAUGCCCAGGGUGUCACACGUGCUACAAUGGGGUGUACAGAGCGACGCUAAACCGCAAGGUGGAGCAAAUCGCAGAAAACACCCCCCAGUUCGGAUUGAGGUCUGCAACCCGACCUCAUGAAGCCGGAAUCGCUAGUAAUCGCGCAUCAGCCAUGGCGCGGUGAAUGAGUUCCUGAGCCUUGUACACACCGCCCGU
Molecule: ribosomal RNA, 506 nt
Filed under: uncultured bacterium
Lineage: Bacteria
Description: partial 16S ribosomal RNA
Rfam family: Bacterial small subunit ribosomal RNA
Source: RNAcentral